UGGCGGCGUGCUUAACACAUGCAAGUCGAACGAUGAUGGCCGUGCUUGCACGGUCGGAUUAGUGGCGAACGGGUGAGUAACACGUGAGUAACCUGCCCCCUACUUCGGGAUAACCUCGGGAAAUCGGGGCUAAUACCGGAUACGAGUUUCCGCCGCAUGGUGGUUUCUGGAAAGUUUUUCGGUGGGGGAUGGGCUCGCGUCCUAUCAGCUUGUUGGUGAGGUAGUGGCUCACCAAGGCGUUGACGGGUAGCCGGCCUGAGAGGGCGACCGGCCACACUGGGACUGAGACACGGCCCAGACUCCUACGGGAGGCAGCAGUGGGGAAUAUUGCACAAUGGGCGCAAGCCUGAUGCAGCGACGCCGCGUGGGGGAUGACGGCCUUCGGGUUGUAAACUCCUUUCAGCAGGGAAGAAGCGAGAGUGACGGUACCUGCAGAAGAAGCGCCGGCUAACUACGUGCCAGCAGCCGCGGUAAUACGUAGGGCGCAAGCGUUGUCCGGAAUUAUUGGGCGUAAAGAGCUUGUAGGUGGCUUGUCGCGUCUGCCGUGAAAACCCGAGGCUCAACCUCGGGCGUGCGGUGGGUACGGGCAGGCUAGAGUGUGGUAGGGGAGACUGGAACUCCUGGUGUAGCGGUGAAAUGCGCAGAUAUCAGGAAGAACACCGAUGGCGAAGGCAGGUCUCUGGGCCAUUACUGACACUGAGAAGCGAAAGCAUGGGGAGCGAACAGGAUUAGAUACCCUGGUAGUCCAUGCCGUAAACGUUGGGCACUAGGUGUGGGGCACAUUCCACGUGGUCCGCGCCGUAGCUAACGCA
This 812-nucleotide ribosomal RNA is filed under the name Brachybacterium sp. RNAcentral describes it as "bacterial SSU rRNA". It matches the Rfam family "Bacterial small subunit ribosomal RNA", at positions 37 to 859 of the family's 1533-position model. Lineage: Bacteria; Bacillati; Actinomycetota; Actinomycetes; Micrococcales; Dermabacteraceae. The record is from RNAcentral.